CUCUGACUCUCAUUCCUAUCGUCUAAAUGACCUCCAACAACAAUGGAAACCUCUUGCAACCAGCCCCCUUCCUUUCGAUGUAGAGAUCAACGGCGAGUUUUCGGCGGCGGAAUCCGGCGGCCUCUUUGGUGGCGUCUUCUUCCUCUUUUCGGCAGCGGUCUCCCUCCUUGUUGAAGCACUAGAUAGGGACGGCGGAGUCCCGACGAAGCGAAGCAGCAGCAAUGGACCGGUGAGCCUCCAUCCCUACCGGCGAGUCACAUGGCCGUCACAACCGGCAAUGGCGAUCUCCUCCUCCCCCGUCGACGCAAGUAGCUUCGACAGUGUAGCUGGUCCCUUCCGGCAUUGCGGCGGUAUCGGUCUUCUCCAGUGGCGGGCAGCUCUGGCGGAUUCCUCUCCCCCGUCAGGCAUGAAUGGCAGAGCGGCACUAGUGCGACUUGGCAGUAGCGACGAUGGACCUUGGCGGUGAAGUUUAGCAGCAGCAACUUCUCUUCCUCGGCGGCGGUGAUGCUCUCUUCUCGGCCUCCAGCGAGUGUGGUGACUGCAUGGAUGGGUUGGCAGUAGCAUUUUCUCCCUUCUACUUCAGUAAGUGUAAUACAGUAGGUUCAUGGUUAUGGACUUGCUUUUGAGAUGAGCUUAGAGUUGGUGAUUGCUUGUGGAUUGUUAAAGCUUCAAGAGGUAUGGAGUAGAUUGAGCCGAGAGCGCGCUAGAGAUAGAUCUACCUCUCCCUAUGCUUAGUCUAGUGACCUGUAUGUUUUUCAGCCCUAUGCGGCGUAGACUAUGCUUUAUGUAUUGACUAUUUUAGUUAUAUUACUUUGAUUGAUUAGUAUUAUGGAUUCUUAGCCUGUGCAUCUAGGUUUGGAUUUGCCUUGAUGUAGCAUGACACCCUUUUGAGUACUAGUAUGCUUCCGCUUUAUUCUGUUGUUA
Molecule: long non-coding RNA, 924 nt
Organism: Ipomoea triloba (trilobed morning glory)
Lineage: Eukaryota; Viridiplantae; Streptophyta; Magnoliopsida; Solanales; Convolvulaceae
Exons: 3
Source: RefSeq, a predicted model, not a curated record